RNAcentral lists this ribosomal RNA (497 nucleotides) under uncultured bacterium. Its description in RNAcentral is "partial 16S ribosomal RNA". It matches the Rfam family "Bacterial small subunit ribosomal RNA", at positions 28 to 507 of the family's 1533-position model. The record is from RNAcentral.
GAUGAACGCUGGCGGCGUGCCUAACACAUGCCAGUCGAACGGAAAGACGAGGAGCUCGUUCUUUUAAGGUUAGCGUCGGGCGGGUGAGUAACGCGUACAUCGCCAUCUUAUUUGUCUGGGAUAAUAUCGGGAAACCGGAGCCAAUACCACAUCAUAUAUUGAACCGCAGGGUGCAAUAGUUAAUGGCGGUUUUGCUGUUAGUAAUAGAUGAUUCCGGGCCGCAUUAGCUAGUUGGUAAGGUAACGGCUUACCAAGGCAACGAUGCGUAGCGGACCUGAGAGGGUGAUCGGCCACACUGGAACUGAGACACGGUCCAGACUCCUACGGGAGGCAGCAGUAGGGAAUAUUGCGCAAUGGGCGCAAGCCUGACCCAGCCACACCGCGUGGGUGAUGAAGGUCUUCGGAUUGUAAAGCUCUUUUAUUGGGGAAGAACAGCAGCGUAUGUAACUACGGCCGUCUUGACGGUACCUAAAGAAUAAGCAACGGCUAACUACGUG